RNAcentral lists this ribosomal RNA (253 nucleotides) under uncultured Desulfovibrio sp. RNAcentral's name for it is "partial 16S ribosomal RNA". It matches the Rfam family "Bacterial small subunit ribosomal RNA", at positions 1129 to 1382 of the family's 1533-position model. Lineage: Bacteria; Pseudomonadati; Thermodesulfobacteriota; Desulfovibrionia; Desulfovibrionales; Desulfovibrionaceae. The record is from RNAcentral.
AGUUGGGCACUCUAAGAGGACUGCCGGUGUCAAACCGGAGGAAGUGGGGAUGACGUCAAGUCCUCAUGGCCUUUAUGUCUAGGGCUACACACGUACUACAAUGGCCGGUACAAAGGGCAGCCACUCAGCGAUGAGGCGCUAAUCCCAUAAAGCCGGUCUCAGUCCGGAUCGCAGUCUGCAACUCGACUGCGUGAAGUUGGAAUCGCUAGUAAUCGUAGAUCAGCAUGCUACGGUGAAUACGUUCCCGGGCCUU